This 1838-nucleotide long non-coding RNA is filed under the name Nicotiana tabacum (common tobacco). RNAcentral's name for it is "long non-coding RNA (NTAB_LNC012741)". Lineage: Eukaryota; Viridiplantae; Streptophyta; Magnoliopsida; Solanales; Solanaceae. The record is from RNAcentral.
CACUUGAGCCCAAUUGAUUAUCAUCAUUACACAUGCAUAAUGAUGUGAAAAAAUAAAACUUUAAAUGCUACAAAAUCAUACUACAGUCUAAGAGAAGUAUUGUUUUAAAUUCGAUUGAGCUAAUGACAUGAGAACAAAGCUGUACAGCAUUCGAACUAAAUUCGGUCCCAAGUUGACUUAUAAAUAAUUGUAUGAAAUUUAAGCCUCAAUAAAAAACUCUUUAAUACAAACAAUAGCAAAAAUCCCACGAGAUUAACAUGUAACUACCCUGAAUCUAAAAAAUCACAUCAACUUUCAACAGAAUUAGACGAAGACCAGAAGCAAUUCCCCUUAUACCACAUCAACAACAUGAAAAGGCAAAUAGAAUACACAUGAGAUUAAACUAUUACAAUAUAUUAAUGAAAUGGAAGAACAUGGAAGUAAGAUUCAAUAAAACAACUUGUAUUCAUCAUGUAUCCACAUUCGAAUUGCAUGUUUACACUUUACAUGCUAUCCAUAGCUCAAGAAAUUCCUGAAAGUCAAGAGAAAAACAAAGAGAGUGGGGGAUUUAGCAACAACAAUAGAUCAGCAACUUCAGCACCAAUUUUCAGCCCAUUUUUAGAUCAUUUUAAACCCAGAUGAGCAAAAGUUCUUUGAAGCUUUCAAAUUCUACCUAACGAUCAAGAUUAAAAAGAAAAUCCAAAGCUAGUUUUCACCAAAAGAUGCAUGAAAUUUUCUAAGUAUUUUCAGAGUCCAAAGCUCAGCAUUUUCUCAGUUUUUCAGUAUAUGUCAUCUCUGUAUUCUACUGAAAGCAGACCUUAUAUAGAUGACCUUAGAGCAACAAAAAUGAUUUUACCAAUUAUCAAUUUCCCCCUUUCCCAAUUUUCAUUUUUUCACUUUUAACCCUAAUUUUCUAGCAUGUUUGUUAAACUAAACAGAACCUCACCUUCCUGGAAGUUUCCCAGGAAGUUUGUGAAAGAUUCCCCUGCCCAAUUUUCCUAAACUAACCUUUGAACCCCUCUCAAUUGCCUUCAACACCAACCGGGCUCGAAACCCUUUUAACAAACUGAAAAUCCCAAAAAAAAACCACAACCCCUUGGGCUUAAUGUUGAUGGGCCUGUCUGCGUGCAAGGCAGGUCCCAAACCAAACGGAGCCCAAAUUAAAAAUCAACUUCUGUAAGAAGAAGAAAGAGAACAAAACAACGAUAAUUCUGACUAAAUGAAUCCAGAUAUAUUAACUCGUAUAGCCCUAAGAAAUGUAACAAAACUAAAACAAAAAAAUUAGAACCAAUUAUUGAAGAAAUAUACUGAUUUAAGGCCUAACAAAACUAAACUCUAUUACGAUGCCUAAUUAGACAGACUAAAUGACUUUUGAGAUAAAACGCAAAGAAAAGAAAACUAAGAUUCUUCAUUUUUUAAAGUAAAGGAGAAGAAGAUAAAGAAAAGAAGGGGAACAGAUAAAUAGUAAAGGGACCAAGAGAGAUAGAAAUACCUAAAACCUGGUGGAUGGACGACUUAGGCUAGGCAAACUUCGAUUUUUUCGAUUUGAACCAAAAUGAGUGCUAAUCGACUGUUCGUGUGAGAACAAUCGACUAACACUCGUUUCAGGCCCAAAUUGUCUUCAAAGAUGGGAGAACAUGGACUCAAGCCCUUGAAUGAUGAGUUAAGGACGGGAAUGGAUUUAGGGUUUCAUUUUUAGAUCUGAAAUUAAAGGCGACUGGUGAAGAUUUUGGGGAAAUUGACACUGGCAUGGUGUUUUAAGGGAUUAUGAGGAGUAUGUGGUUAAAUUUUGGUGGGAUUUGGAGCUUCAACACCGCCGGUGGCGAAAUCCGGCGGGUGGCAGGCGGUGGGUGAGAGAC